RNAcentral lists this ribosomal RNA (817 nucleotides) under Eutypella sp. RNAcentral's name for it is "partial large subunit ribosomal RNA". It matches the Rfam family "Eukaryotic large subunit ribosomal RNA", at positions 77 to 918 of the family's 3401-position model. Lineage: Eukaryota; Fungi; Ascomycota; Sordariomycetes; Xylariales; Diatrypaceae. The record is from RNAcentral.
GCCCUAGUAACGGCGAGUGAAGCGGCAACAGCUCAAAUUUGAAAUCUGGCCUUCGGGUCCGAAUUGUAAUUUGUAGAGGAUGCUUUUGGUGCGGUGCCUUCCGAGUUCCUUGGAACAGGACGCCUUAGAGGGUGAGAGCCCCGUACGGUUGGACACCAAGCCUAUGUAAAGCUCCUUCGACGAGUCGAGUAGUUUGGGAAUGCUGCUCUAAAUGGGAGGUAAAUUUCUUCUAAAGCUAAAUACCGGCCAGAGACCGAUAGCGCACAAGUAGAGUGAUCGAAAGAUGAAAAGUACUUUGAAAAGAGGGUUAAAUAGCACGUGAAAUUGUUGAAAGGGAAGCGUUUAUGACCAGACCUUCGUCGGGCGGAUCAUCCGGUGUUCUUCACCGGUGCACUUCGCCCGGCUUAGGCCAGCAUCGGUUUUCGUAGGGGGAUAAAGGUCUAGGGAACGUAGCUCCCUCCGGGGAGUGUUAUAGCCCUGGGCGUAAUACCCUUACGGGGACCGAGGUUCGCGCUCCGGCAAGGAUGCUGGCGUAAUGGUCAUCAACGACCCGUCUUGAAACACGGACCAAGGAGUCGAACAUUUAUGCGAGUGUUUGGGUGUUAAACCCUCACGCGUAAUGAAAGUGAACGGAGGUGAGAGCCCGUACGGGUGCAUCAUCGACCGAUCCUGAUGUCUUCGGAUGGAUUUGAGUAAGAGCAUAACUGUUCGGACCCGAAAGAUGGUGAACUAUGCGUGGAUAGGGUGAAGCCAGAGGAAACUCUGGUGGAGGCUCGCAGCGGUUCUGACGUGCAAAUCGAUCGUCAAAUCUGCGCAU